CACUAAUGCAGCUAGCUUAUUUUGACAGAUACUCUACCGGCAGAAUUAACAUAGAUGUUGCCAUUUGAUUAGAUGUCCUCUAAGAGUCAGUUAACACGUGAGUGUUUAGUGGGCUGUUGAGUAUCAGCCGGGUUUCAGGCUCACAUCUGGUGCUGUCGAGGAGCCGACCCACUGAGCCUUUUGGAUUAUACUCCGCUAAAGAGGGUCAGUGCACACACACAGACCUCUGUUUGCCAGGUCUUAGGAUCGGAUUGGAGUCCGGGCAGUGUGGCAUCAAUUUGCAAGAGUGUCGAUGUCGGACCAGAGCAUGCCAGGGACCUGCAGGACUGCUGUAGAAUCCUUUCCCUGACCCAGACUCACCUCUAUGCAAUUCCCCUGAUCUCCAGGCCCCUAAACAGAUUAACUCCGCAGCUGGCUCAGGGAACAGACUCGCCACCAUCUCUCGAUCACACCCCUCCUCUUUCUAUCCGUCCCUCCGCCCCCCCUACUUUUUUGUCCCACCCAUCCUUCCUCUUCCUUUGCCCUGUUACAUGCCAGUCCGACGAGGGAUUUACUUGCAAUUUAAUUUUCUCCUCAUCUCACCUCACCUCUCCUCUCCCAUUUCCCCUUUCCCUCCUUCUGACAGAAUUCACUUCUAGUGAGCUAGUGGCUCAUAUGUUCUCUCUCCUCUGUUUAUAUUCCCCCUCCCAUAUGUCUCCUAGCAUAGCAUUCUCCAUAAGGAAGAGCACAGGAGGUGGUUCCUUGAGGGAAAUCAUUGCUUAUUCUUUUUUAAAUGGGAGGCCUCGUUCUGUAUUUGCUCCCAUGGGAGCACAAGGUGCAGAAUACUAUUUCCCAUUCGCCCGCAGAGGGAUAUUUGACACCUCUAAAGACACAAACACUAACCCUUGUUAUAUAUCAGACUUGGAAAUAGAUAUUCCGUUGAGAUACCUGUGCACCGUUUACCGAUGCUACCAGUUGCAAACAAAUUCGCCCAGGUGUGUAUGAGGAUUUGAUCUAUCUAUCUAUCUAUCUAUCUAUCUAUCUAUCUAUCUAUCUAUCUAUCUAUCUAUCUAAAGGCUU
Molecule: long non-coding RNA, 1059 nt
Organism: Cyprinus carpio (common carp)
Lineage: Eukaryota; Metazoa; Chordata; Actinopteri; Cypriniformes; Cyprinidae
Source: Ensembl